RNAcentral lists this long non-coding RNA (595 nucleotides) under Chinchilla lanigera (long-tailed chinchilla). Its description in RNAcentral is "lncRNA (ENSCLAG00000026382.1)". The record is from RNAcentral. Lineage: Eukaryota; Metazoa; Chordata; Mammalia; Rodentia; Chinchillidae.
GUAUGACUCCCACCCCCAUGCACUGCCACAGGGGACAGAGCUGAAGGAAGAUGGCCUCUGGAAUCAGAAUUCCUGCUGCCACCCUUCCUGCACCCAGCACACCCACCACCCUCAGAGAAAGUGGCGCAGCCCAAGGGAUCCUUCUAUCAUCCUGGACUCCAGGCACUCCUCUCCCAGCAAGCCAUCCUGCAGGCUGCUGCGUGUGUGGGGAUUAAUGUCCCCAGUGUGGCAGGUCUAAAUAAUGGGCUACAGGGAGGCACAUCUGUAAAUUAUACAGGAAGCCUUCUUCAACAACUGAUUCACCCUGACAGUUUUACUGGAGUAUAUGAAAAUGAGUAUUAAAGAUGUGAUCUGUAGGCUUCCUUCCAGGAAUUCCAAUCUGGUUUCAAUAAAAUGGGAACACUGAUUGGAAGUGAAGUUGCCUUCCGGUUUUGCCUUUGGCUAUUACGUGCUCAUUCGUGAAAUGACUGAAUUCCACAACUACUUUUAAUAUUCACCUUUUGAGUUCAUCUCCCGCACUGGACACAUUGGAAUGAUUAAAAUAGCAUUGGCUCCCCACGCUGGGUGCUCUCUAAUUUAAAACAGUCCAGGUGCU